Non-coding RNA from Megaselia scalaris, 46 nucleotides. NCBI's taxonomy places the organism in Eukaryota, Metazoa, Arthropoda, Insecta, Diptera, Phoridae. The record is from Rfam.
AAAACGGUCCUUUUCAGGACCACAAAUUUCAUUUAGAAAAGGGUUU